RNAcentral lists this long non-coding RNA (821 nucleotides) under Triticum aestivum (bread wheat). RNAcentral's name for it is "long non-coding RNA (TAES_LNC025786)". The record is from RNAcentral. Lineage: Eukaryota; Viridiplantae; Streptophyta; Magnoliopsida; Poales; Poaceae.
ACAGAAGUUUUUUGCAUCGGAUUGUAGUUAAACAAAAUGAUUAUAGACGACUUGCUAUUACACCCAGCUAUAAAAAAUGAAAAAGGAGAGGUCUACAUGAAAAGGAAAUGUAAUGUGUCAAUAGAAACUCAAACUAAAAGCUGCACGCAAGAUGAACCAUGCCUCUAAAAAUUCUUCAACCACAUCAGGCAGGAAGUAGCCCACCAAACAAUGAAGGCGUGCAACAGACCAGCGACAAUUAUUCAUGGAAACACUAAGCGGCUUCCAAGAAGAUAUAUUAAAGUGACUAUCAUGUAGCCCCAUUAAUUGCAUGUACAGUUUGACUUGAAGUACCUAAGAACAACAUGAAUAAAUCUCAAGAAAGUUUGACUUGAAGUACCUAAUAAGAACAAUAUGAAUAAAUCUCAAGAAAUUUUGGCAAACUAUGAGCUGAAGAUGCAGAUUUUAGUUUCCGUAAAUGACCGAGAUGCAUCUGUAGCUCCAACAUAAAAGAAGUACAACCAACCAUAUAGAUUUGAGAAUACGGUACUUGUCAAGGAUAAAUGGGGGCUAACACAUCUAGCACCAAGUCUGAAUCAACGUGACACUUAUCAGGUUUCUAGAGCAUCUAAUUAAGGGAGCAAAAAAAGAACAAAUUCUAUGUGAAAACGCUAUUAAUGCCUUCAGGUAAAUGCUUCUUCGUGUAUCAUAUAUGGCAGUUUGAUAAAAAAAGUAAGAAAACAAUAUAGCAAAUUAACAUAUAAUUAUGUUUAUCAAGAAGGCAGAAGAUAAUCGAUGAACUAUAACUGGUGUAAAGCUCAUCGCCAAUGUGAAGUAUUAAC